This 849-nucleotide long non-coding RNA is filed under the name Gallus gallus (chicken). Its description in RNAcentral is "lncRNA (ENSGALG00010003111.1)". The record is from RNAcentral. Lineage: Eukaryota; Metazoa; Chordata; Aves; Galliformes; Phasianidae.
UUUUGCUGGAGAUCCCUGCAUACCUGAGCUCUUCUGCAGGUGAGGGGGUUGCAGCCAGGAGGAGCCUUCCAUGCCUGGAGACAUGAGCACUGUCCUGCAGCCCUACUGAGGAUGCUGAAGUGACCUUUUCUCUUCUACAUGAAAAACAGCAUCCACCAAAACCAACUAAAUGCAGAGAAAUUAAGGGCUGCAGUGACAGCCACCAUGUGCUCUGGAGGGACCUGGCAGAGGUGGACAAGGCAUACCAAUAUUUGGAAGCACCUCAGAUGGAGUCAGCCAGGAGAGAUCAAGUGCUCCAUAAAAGUGACGUGUGGGUGGACACACUGUCUGUAUUUCAAAGUAGCUCUGGCCAGAAGUGAUGCUAAGGGGAAAGUAAGAGGUAAAAGAGGAAUGUGUGCUUUAUGAUGCAGGAGUAAUUCAGGCUUCUAGCACUGGAGGACCUACUACAAGACUAAUUAAAGGCCUCGUUUGUGGUUUCAAGGAGGCCAUUAUAACACUCAAAGCUCCCUGAAAUAUCAGUGUUGUAGGCAUGCCCUGCUCUUCUUUAAUAAUCUUUAACUUCUUUAAUAACCUUUAAGAUCAUCUAGUUCCAACCCCCUACUAUAGGCAGAGAUACCUCCCUCUAGACCAGGUAGCUCAAAGCCCCAUCCUGCUGGUCAUGGCCUAGCUUGGCCUCCUGGCUAAGCAGAAGCCAACAGCUCCUGUCAAAGCAAGCUUCUGGGCUGCUAGACGGACAAAUAACAUGUCCUGGGAGGAAGCUAUGGCACGUGCUUCAGGGAGUUAGGUAUGUACAGCAUGUGUUUUAGUAUUUUUAACCCACAUGUUAGGUCAGAACACGUUUGGUUACAU